AGCAGCCGCGGUAAUUCCAGCUCCAAUAGCGUAUAUUAAAGUUGUUGCAGUUAAAAAGCUCGUAGUUGAAUUUCGGGAUCAAUUUAUCGGUCGUGCCAAUGGUAUGAACUGGUACAAUUGGUUUCUCCCUUCUGACGAAGCAUGAUGUCAUUAAUUUGGUGUCGUGGGGAAUCAGGACUGUUACUUUGAAAAAUUAGAGUGUUUAAAGCAAGCAUUAGCUUGAAUACAUUAGCAUGGAAUAAUGAAAUAGGACGUUUGAUCCUAUUUCGUUGGUUUCUAGGAUCGACGUAAUGAUUAAUAGGGAUAGUUGGGGGCAUUAGUAUUCAAUUGUCAGAGGUGAAAUUCUUGGAUUUAUUGAAGACUAACUACUGCGAAAGCAUUUGCCAA
RNAcentral lists this ribosomal RNA (387 nucleotides) under uncultured Glomeromycotina. RNAcentral describes it as "SSU rRNA". It matches the Rfam family "Eukaryotic small subunit ribosomal RNA", at positions 569 to 961 of the family's 1831-position model. Lineage: Eukaryota; Fungi; Glomeromycota. The record is from RNAcentral.